Molecule: ribosomal RNA, 253 nt
Filed under: uncultured bacterium
Lineage: Bacteria
Description: partial 16S ribosomal RNA
Rfam family: Bacterial small subunit ribosomal RNA
Source: RNAcentral
UACGUAGGGGGCAAGCGUUGUCCGGAUUUAUUGGGCGUAAAGAGCGUGUAGGCGGCUAGGUAGGUCCGUUGUGAAAACUCGAGGCUCAACCUCGAGCUGUCGAUGGAAACCAUCUGGCUAGAGCCCGGAAGAGGAGAGUGGAAUUCCUGGUGUAGCGGUGAAAUGCGCAGAUAUCAGGAAGAACACCCGUGGCGAAGGCGGCUCUCUGGUACGUGACUGACGCUGAGACGCGAAAGCGUGGGGAGCGAACAGG